RNAcentral lists this ribosomal RNA (405 nucleotides) under uncultured prokaryote. Its description in RNAcentral is "bacterial SSU rRNA". It matches the Rfam family "Bacterial small subunit ribosomal RNA", at positions 355 to 774 of the family's 1533-position model. The record is from RNAcentral.
UGGGGGAUAUUGCACAAUGGGCGAAAGCCUGAUGCAGCAACGCCGCGUGAGGGAAGACGGUUUUCGGAUUGUAAACCUCUGUCUUCGGUGAAGAAACAAAUGACGGUAGCCGAGGAGGAAGCCACGGCUAACUACGUGCCAGCAGCCGCGGUAAUACGUAGGUGGCAAGCGUUGUCCGGAAUUACUGGGUGUAAAGGGAGUGCAGGCGGGGAGACAAGUCAGCUGUGAAAACUAUGGGCUUAACCCAUAAACGGCAGUUGAAACUGUUUUUCUUGAGGGGAGUAGAGGUAGGCGGAAUUCCGAGUGUAGCGGUGAAAUGCGUAGAUAUUCGGAGGAACACCAGUGGCGAAGGCGGCCUACUGGGCUCUAACUGACGCUGAGGCUCGAAAGUGUGGGGAGCAAACA